CCCAAUAGGAUCCAACACACUCUGUAGUAAAAGGAAAGGUCCCUUCCCUGAGAAGAUUGCAAUCUAAUUUUAGACACGAUAUGGUGGUAAGAAGAGGGGAUGGAGUUGUAAAGGCCAAGAAUUACAGCAAUCAGUGGUAAAAUAUGAAGACAGAAAUGUAUCAAUCUUUGACAAAAGCAUUGUAAGAGAACAGAGGCCAGCCCCGUGAAAUGAGAAAAUGCAGAGGAGUGUACAAAGAUGAGUUCAGAAGGAUUCCUUGGUAUUUUCUACCAUCAAAGAUUCAGAAAUUUACAAUUUACACGGUUCUAUCUUGGCGUGAACAGCUGAGCCCAGUGGAGGAUUUAGCCCCAUAGGAGGACAGACAGGAAAUCUGUAUCCUGUAUCCAAAUCUGUAUCCUGUAUCGGGACUGAGCCUUCACAGCAGACACAUCUCUUGAUCUUGCAUCAAUCAACUUCUGAGUCCAAAGAGCUGUCUUUCAUUCCUGUAAAUUGCAGCCUUUCCCUGAGAGCUCUGAUUGGCCACUCU
Caretta caretta (loggerhead turtle) is the source of this 526-nucleotide non-coding RNA. The record is from RefSeq and is a predicted model, not a curated record. NCBI's taxonomy places the organism in Eukaryota, Metazoa, Chordata, Testudines, Cheloniidae.